GAGUGAACGCUGGCGGUAGGCCUAACACAUGCAAGUCGAACGGCAGCACAGUAAGAGCUUGCUCUUACGGGUGGCGAGUGGCGGACGGGUGAGGAAUACAUCGGAAUCUACUUUUUCGUGGGGGAUAACGUAGGGAAACUUACGCUAAUACCGCAUACGACCUACGGGUGAAAGCAGGGGAUCUUCGGACCUUGCGCGAUUGAAUGAGCCGAUGUCGGAUUAGCUAGUUGGCGGGGUAAAGGCCCACCAAGGCGACGAUCCGUAGCUGGUCUGAGAGGAUGAUCAGCCACACUGGAACUGAGACACGGUCCAGACUCCUACGGGAGGCAGCAGUGGGGAAUAUUGGACAAUGGGCGCAAGCCUGAUCCAGCCAUACCGCGUGGGUGAAGAAGGCCUUCGGGUUGUAAAGCCCUUUUGUUGGGAAAGAAAAGCAGCAGGUUAAUACCCCGCUGUUCUGACGGUACCCAAAGAAUAAGCACCGGCUAACUUCAUG
This 493-nucleotide ribosomal RNA is filed under the name uncultured bacterium. RNAcentral describes it as "partial 16S ribosomal RNA". It matches the Rfam family "Bacterial small subunit ribosomal RNA", at positions 27 to 507 of the family's 1533-position model. The record is from RNAcentral.